RNAcentral lists this ribosomal RNA (460 nucleotides) under uncultured bacterium. RNAcentral's name for it is "partial 16S ribosomal RNA". It matches the Rfam family "Bacterial small subunit ribosomal RNA", at positions 338 to 795 of the family's 1533-position model. The record is from RNAcentral.
CCUACGGGUGGCUGCAGUGAGGAAUAUUGGUCAAUGGACGAGAGUCUGAACCAGCCAAGUAGCGUGAAGGAUGACUGCCCUAUGGGUUGUAAACUUCUUUUAUAUGGGAAUAAAAUGUUCCACGUGUGGGAUUUUGUAUGUACCAUAUGAAUAAGGAUCGGCUAACUCCGUGCCAGCAGCCGCAGUAAUACGGAGGAUCCGAGCGUUAUCCGGAUUUAUUGGGUUUAAAGGGAGCGUAGGUGGAUUGUUAAGUCAGUUGUGAAAGUUUGCGACUCAACCGUAAAAUUGCAGUUGAAACUGGCAGUCUUGAGUACAGUAGAGGUGGGCGGAAUUCGUGGUGUAGCGGUGAAAUGCUUAGAUAUCACGAAGAACUCCGAUUGCGAAGGCAGUUCACUGGACUGCAACUGACACUGAGGCUCGAAAGUGUGGGUAUCAAACAGGAUUAGAUACCCUAGUAGUC